This 301-nucleotide ribosomal RNA is filed under the name uncultured bacterium. RNAcentral's name for it is "partial 16S ribosomal RNA". It matches the Rfam family "Bacterial small subunit ribosomal RNA", at positions 509 to 809 of the family's 1533-position model. The record is from RNAcentral.
CAGUAGCCGCGGUAACACGUAGGUGGCAAGCGUUGUCCGGAAUUAUUGGGCGUAAAGGGCUCGCAGGCGGUUUCUUAAGUCUGAUGUGAAAGCCCCCGGCUCAACCGGGGAGGGUCAUUGGAAACUGGGAAACUUGAGUGCAGAAGAGGAGAGUGGAAUUCCACGUGUAGUGGUGAAAUGCGUAGAGAUGUGGAGGAACACCAGUGGCGAAGGCGACUCUCUGGUCUGUAACUGACGCUGAGGAGCGAAAGCGUGGGGAGCGAACAGGAUUAGAUACCCGGGUAGUCCCUGUCUUUAUACA